GCGGCCCCCAGGUCGCCUGCAUCACCAUAGGGCGAAAGACCCAUUUCAUAGGUGUACUCCUGGGCCCACCCGGACCAACCGAAUCGGAAAUCCAGGGGUGAACCUUAGGGGAUUGUCUUACUUUUAAGAGUAUGAGGGCAGGUCGAAAACCCGCUCCCUAGUUCUGACGCAAGAGCCCUAUACUGGAAUUCCCCACCCCUGCCCAGCCCAGAGAUGGGAGAAAAUGGUGAGUGUAGGUAUACGACAUGCUCUGGAAAGUCCAAGUCUCUGCCUGUCUUCUUGUUCCCAUUCAUGUCAACUGAAUGAGAUACAUUCAUUUUUGUCUAUAUGAAAGGGUUCAUCUGCUGACAGACUGCUGUACAUUCAGAAACAAGCCACUGCAAGAACAAUGAGGCUCCCUGCCAAUCAAGAUUUCUGAAAUUUCAUACUAUGAAAAGAAAAGUUCCAGCUGACUAGCAGAACGCACAGGAGAAACUCAAUAAACAUUUCUUGAUGGAAUGAAGGUAAGAAUUUGGCAAGACAGGAAGAGAGGCCUAAAGUACGGAAGAGGAGAGGAUUGGAGAGGGAAGAAAGAAGGGAAGAGAGGGCAAGUAAGGGUCUGAGAGGGAAGGUCAGAAGUAAGGCAAAUUGCUGACCUGUCAGUUACUUCCAGAAGCUGUCUGUCCUUGAAAUAGCCGAGGGUAGAUCAGAAAGUGUAAUACAGUAAUUGAAGGUUUUGCAUUUCAGACUUGGCUUUAAAGUCUUUUAAAUUAGCUUUGUAAUUUGUAAAUUACUCAGCUUUGUAAUCUUGGGCAAAUUCUCUUAUCCUCCCUUUCUUUUUCUGUAAAAUGGAUGUGAAUAUUGAAUGAAAUUAUACCUGCACCGGCGCUUGGACGGUCGCCACUCAAGGUUAAAGUCGACUGUCGUUAUUUACUAAUAUUGUAACUAUUUGCUCUAGGCUGCCCGCCCUCCUGCUUCACUCGCCGCUCUCUCGCUGGUUGAGACAGCCCAGCGCUGCCACCAAUCGGCUUGGUCCGAGGGGGAGCAGCCGAAAGGGCAGAACCAAUGGGCGCAGGGGUCAAGAGAACCUAAACAGUGGCGGCGUCCCGUGUGGAAGCUGGGGGCAGUCCCGGGCCUCCGAGUAACAGACUCUCGCGGCCCCUGGCCGGGGUAGGUGCAAGUAUUCCCCAAGAAGAAUGUUCAUUUUGUCAAGGACAGCACUAUUUGCCACCCUUGUGGGAAUUUCAUAGUACUUAUUAAUACUGAAAUCAAGAAAAAGACUACUCCAGUGUAUGAAUGGAAUUGUGGGCAUCCUGGCAACUAAUGUUCCUUAUGAAGUUGUCGCUUUUUCUGACCAGCAGCUCUGAUCCCUCAUCUACAUAUACAGCUUCCUCUGAAAUGACCAGAAAGAUCAAUUUAAAAGGUAUCUUGCAAGACUGUUCCUUUACCAUGACCAAAGGAUUAUAUUAAAGAUGUGACCAAAUCUAGUUCUUACAAAUGUAGGGUUUUGGGGUUUUUUUGACUGGUUGGGUUUUUUUUUUUUUUUUGUAAUAAGCAUUUUUAAGGACCAAUCAGGCUGAUCACAUAGGCUUUAAUUAAGUAGGCUGGAGCCUUGCUACUCAAAGUGUGGUCUGCUCACAGUCAACAUUGUAUCACUGAAGAUGGCCGAAACUCUGCUCCCAUCACAGACCUAUGAAUCAGAAUCUGCAUUUUAACAGUAUUUCCCCAGUUGAUUCAUAUGCACUUUAAACUUGAGAAGCACUGGACUAGAACACUACUAGAGAACUAACUGCUGUUUAAAAACCUUUUUAAGAACAGGUUUUUUUUUUCCUUUCCUGAUGAUUUAUUGAAAAUCUGGCUGAAGAGAUGUGUAUAACUUCUAAAGAUAAGUCUCUGAGCCUCAAUUUCCUUUUCUAUGAUAAAGAUAAUGGUAUCUACUGUCAAGACUGUGCUGAAAAAAUUGAAAUUAUAUAUAUAACAUAUAACCUUAUAUGUUAUAUAUAUAAUUAA
Non-coding RNA from Odocoileus virginianus texanus, 1989 nucleotides. The record is from RefSeq and is a predicted model, not a curated record. Lineage: Eukaryota; Metazoa; Chordata; Mammalia; Artiodactyla; Cervidae.